AGAGUUUGAUCCUGGCUCAGGAUUAACGCUAGCGGCAGGCCUAAUACAUGCAAGUUGAACGGGAUUUCGGGUAGCAAUAUCUGAAUGAGAGUGGCGCACGGGUGCGUAACACGUAUGCAAUCUACCUCUGACUGGGGAAUAGCCUUCCGAAAGGAAGAUUAAUACCGCAUAAUAUAAUGAAGUGGCAUCACUUUAUUAUCAAAACUCCGGUGGUCAGAGAUGAGCAUGCGUCCGAUUAGCUAGUUGGUGAGGUAACGGCUCACCAAGGCAACGAUCGGUAGGGGGUCUGAGAGGAUGAUCCCCCACACUGGUACUGAGACACGGACCAGACUCCUACGGGAGGCAGCAGUAAGGAAUAUUGGACAAUGGUCGCAAGACUGAUCCAGCCAUGCCGCGUGAAGGAUGAAUGCCCUAUGGGUUGUAAACUUCUUUUAAACGGGAAAAAACCCCACUACGUGUAGUGGGCUGAUGGUACCGUAAGAAUAAGGAUCGGCUAACUUCGUGCCAGCAGCCGCGGUAAUACGAAGGAUUCGAGCGUUAUCCGGAUUUAUUGGGCGUAAAGAGUCCGUAGGUAGUCAUUCAAGUCUGCUGUUAAAGAGCGAGGCUUAACUUCGUAAAGGCAGUGGAAACUGGAAGACUAGAGUGUAGUAGGGGCAGAGGGAAUUCCUGGUGUAGCGGUGAAAUGCGUAGAGAUCAGGAAGAACACCGGUGGCGAAGGCGCUCUGCUGGGCUAUAACUGACACUGAGGGACGAAAGCUAGGGGAGCGAAUGGGAUUAGAUACCCCAGUAGUCCUAGCGGUAAACGAUGGAAACUAGGUGUGGCCUGUAUCGACCCGGGCCGUGCCGAAGCUAACGCGUUAAGUUUCCCGCCUGGGGAGUACGCACGCAAGUGUGAAACUCAAAGGAAUUGACGGGGGCCCGCACAAGCGGUGGAGUAUGUGGUUUAAUUCGAUGCAACGCGAAGAACCUUACCAGGACUUGACAUCUCUGGAAUCCUGCUGAAAGGUGGGAGUGCCGUAAGGAACCAGAAGACAGGUGCUGCAUGGCUGUCGUCAGCUCGUGUCGUGAGAUGUUGGGUUAAGUCCCGCAACGAGCGCAACCCUCGUCGUUAGUUGCCAUCAUUAAGUUGGGAACUCUAGCGAGACUGCCGGUGACAAACCGGAGGAAGGUGAGGAUGACGUCAAGUCAGCAUGGCCCUUACGUCCUGGGCGACACACGUACUACAAUGCGAGGGACAGAGAGCAGCCAACCCGCGAGGGAGAGCGAACCUCUUAAACCCUGGCACAGUUCAGAUUGCAGGCUGCAACUCGCCUGCAUGAAGGAGGAAUCGCUAGUAAUCGCAGGUCAGCAUACUGCGGUGAAUCCGUUCCCGGGCCUUGUACACACCGCCCGUCACACCAUGGAAGUGAGCCACGCCCGAAGUCAUUACUCUAACCCGCAAGGGGGGAGGGUGCCGAAGGCGGGGUUGAUGACUGGGGUGAAGUCGUAACAAGGUA
Molecule: ribosomal RNA, 1496 nt
Filed under: metagenome
Description: bacterial SSU rRNA
Rfam family: Bacterial small subunit ribosomal RNA
Source: RNAcentral